Molecule: long non-coding RNA, 215 nt
Filed under: Lathyrus oleraceus (garden pea)
Lineage: Eukaryota; Viridiplantae; Streptophyta; Magnoliopsida; Fabales; Fabaceae
Description: Pisum sativum (pea) long non-coding RNA (PSAT_LNC013638)
Source: RNAcentral
GAAAAUAAGUUGGUUUUUAAAAUUAUUUUAAUUAAAAGUUUACAAGAACAAGAUAGAAGCAAAUAAGUAAAUACAAUAAAAUAAAUAGUUGAUAUAUCAGAUAACAAGUCAUAUUAUUUUAUCAUGGUUUGACGCAAAACCAUAAGGCUUUUGUCUUGUCUCGAAGGAUAGUACAGUGAGAUUUCCAUUAUCACGAAACUUUUAACACAGGAUCA